Molecule: ribosomal RNA, 380 nt
Filed under: uncultured eukaryote
Lineage: Eukaryota
Description: partial 18S ribosomal RNA
Rfam family: Eukaryotic small subunit ribosomal RNA
Source: RNAcentral
CAAUAGCGUAUAUUAAAGUUGUUGCGGUUAAAAAGCUCGUAGUUGGAUUUCUGCUGAGAACGACCGGUCCGCCCUUUGGGUGUGUAUCUGGCUCUUUCUUGGCAUCUUCUUGGUGAACGUUGCUGCACUUGACUGUGUGGAGCGCUACCCAGGACUUUUACUUUGAGGAAAUUAGAGUGUUUCAAGCAGGCAUACGCCUUGAAUACAUUAGCAUGGAAUAAUAAGAUAGGACCUCGGUUCUAUUUUGUUGGUUUCUAGAGCUGAGGUAAUGAUUAAUAGGGAUAGUUGGGGGCAUUCGUAUUUAACUGUCAGAGGUGAAAUUCUUGGAUUUGUUAAAGACGGACUACUGCGANANCAUUUUNCAAGGAUGUUNUCAUUNA